GUCGAACGGUGAUGAGGAGCUUGCUUCUCUGAUCAGUGGCGAACGGGUGAGUAACACGUGAGCAAUCUGCCCUUGACUCUGGGAUAAGCGUUGGAAACGACGUCUAAUACCGGAUACGACCUUUGGAGGCAUCUCUGGGGGUGGAAAGAAUUUUGGUCAAGGAUGAGCUCGCGGCCUAUCAGCUAGUUGGUGAGGUAAUGGCUCACCAAGGCGACGACGGGUAGCCGGCCUGAGAGGGUGACCGGCCACACUGGGACUGAGACACGGCCCAGACUCCUACGGGAGGCAGCAGUGGGGAAUAUUGCACAAUGGGCGAAAGCCUGAUGCAGCAACGCCGCGUGAGGGACGACGGCCUUCGGGUUGUAAACCUCUUUUAGUAGGGAAGAAGCGAAAGUGACGGUACCUGCAGAAAAAGCACCGGCUAACUACGUGCCAGCAGCCGCGGUAAUACGUAGGGUGCAAGCGUUGUCCGGAAUUAUUGGGCGUAAAGAGCUCGUAGGCGGUUUGUCGCGUCUGCUGUGAAAACCCGAGGCUCAACCUCGGGCCUGCAGUGGGUACGGGCAGACUAGAGUGCGGUAGGGGAGAUUGGAAUUCCUGGUGUAGCGGUGGAAUGCGCAGAUAUCAGGAGGAACACCAAUGGCGAAGGCAGAUCUCUGGGCCGUAACUGACGCUGAGGAGCGAAAGCAUGGGGAGCGAACAGGAUUAGAUACCCUGGUAGUCCAUGCCGUAAACGUUGGGAACUAGAUGUGGGGACCAUUCCACGGUCUCCGUGUCGCAGCUAACGCAUUAAGUUCUCCGCCUGGGGAGUACGGCCGCAAGGCUAAAACUCAAAGGAAUUGACGGGGGCCCGCACAAGCGGCGGAGCAUGCGGAUUAAUUCGAUGCAACGCGAAGAACCUUACCAAGGCUUGACAUAUAGAGGAAACGUCUGGAAACAGUCGCCCCGCAAGGUCUCUAUACAGGUGGUGCAUGGUUGUCGUCAGCUCGUGUCGUGAGAUGUUGGGUUAAGUCCCGCAACGAGCGCAACCCUCGUCCUAUGUUGCCAGCACGUAAUGGUGGGAACUCAUGGGAUACUGCCGGGGUCACUCGGAGGAAGGUGGGGAUGACGUCAAAUCAUCAUGCCCCUUAUGUCUUGGGCUUCAGCAUGCUACAUGGCCGGUACAAAGGCUGCA
RNAcentral lists this ribosomal RNA (1171 nucleotides) under Cryobacterium sp. Its description in RNAcentral is "bacterial SSU rRNA". It matches the Rfam family "Bacterial small subunit ribosomal RNA", at positions 61 to 1251 of the family's 1533-position model. Lineage: Bacteria; Bacillati; Actinomycetota; Actinomycetes; Micrococcales; Microbacteriaceae. The record is from RNAcentral.